GAUGAGGCCAACAGCUCUCUUCAAGAGCUCUCCGUGGAGGGGGCUGUGUGGAAAGUGGUAAGUUCACUGUCACUGGAGAUUUUCACAAUGAAAAUCUGUGACAAGCAGGGUGAGAGCCUGUUGGGAGUGCUGUGGAUGAGAUUCUGGAAACAAAAGACUUAGCCACAUUUUCUGAGAUCCCAUCUAAGUGAAAGCCCUGACUAUUGACAAAGCCAGGGGACAUUAUUGCUGAUGAAACCAAUCAGGCAGUGAUACUUUUACACCCAGUGAGUUCUAGGGAGUGGCAUUCAUGAAGAGGCUUGCACUACAUCCAGACCCUGAAGCAUCUGCAGGCUACUGCCUUGUCUGCCAAGGCGUUGGAGAAACCAUGGCGUGAACACCACCAGAAGUUAAGCCUGAGCCUUUAAUAAGCAGAUCGGAUGGAGUCUUGCUCUGUCACCAGGCUGCAGUGCAGUGGCAUGAUCUCAGCUCACUGCAGCCUCCACCUCCCAGGUUCAAGUGAUUCUCCUGCCUCAGCCUCCCAAGUAGCUGGGACUACAGGUGCGUGCCACCAUGCCCGAUUAAUUUUUUGUAUUUUAGUAGACAUGGGGUUUCACUAUGUUGGCCAGGAUGGUCUCGAUCUCCUGACCUCGUGAUCCACCUGCCUCAGGCUCCCAAAGUGCUGGGAUUACAGGCGUGAGCCAGAGUUGAUUUUUUAAAUUAAUUUUUCCAAAUUAUAUUAAGACUAUAAACUUUUGGAUCGAAAAAGUUCAAUGAACCCCUAACAGAAUAAACAUAAAGUUCAAAAGCACACAAAACCAAUCACUAUAUUAUUUAGGAAUAGAUACAUAUAUAGUAAAAACAACAAAUAGCCAAGGCAAGAUUAACAAAUUUCAGGAUAGAGAGUGCCUCUGGGGAGAAGACGGGACACUCGAAGGCUUUAACUAUAUUAGUAAAUUCUUUUUCUCAACUGAUCUAAGGAGUAAAUAAGUAUUUUUAUUACUAUUCUUUAAAUUGAAUAUAUA
RNAcentral lists this long non-coding RNA (1004 nucleotides) under Homo sapiens (human). RNAcentral describes it as "HSALNT0340318". Lineage: Eukaryota; Metazoa; Chordata; Mammalia; Primates; Hominidae. The record is from RNAcentral.